GAUGAAGAACGUAGCGAAAUGCGAUAAGUAGUGUGAAUUGCAGAAUUCAGUGAAUCAUCGAAUCUUUGAACGCACAUUGCGCCCCUUGGUAUUCCAUGGGGCAUGCCUGUUCGAGCGUCAUUUGUACCUUCAAGCUCUGCUUGGUGUUGGGUGUUUGUCUCGCCUUUGCGUGUAGACUCGCCUUAAAACCAUUGGCAGCCGGCGUAUUGAUUUCGGAGCGCAGUACAUCUCGCGCUUUGCACUCAGAACGACGACGUCCAAAAGUACAUUUUUACACUCUUGACCUCGGAUCAGGUAGGGAUACCCGCUGAACUUAAGCAUAUCAAUAAGGA
RNAcentral lists this unclassified non-coding RNA (332 nucleotides) under soil metagenome. Its description in RNAcentral is "partial contains 5.8S ribosomal RNA, internal transcribed spacer 2, and large subunit ribosomal RNA". The stretch from base 1 to 120 matches the Rfam family "5.8S ribosomal RNA", at positions 35 to 154 of the family's 154-position model. The record is from RNAcentral.